RNAcentral lists this ribosomal RNA (498 nucleotides) under uncultured bacterium. Its description in RNAcentral is "partial 16S ribosomal RNA". It matches the Rfam family "Bacterial small subunit ribosomal RNA", at positions 28 to 508 of the family's 1533-position model. The record is from RNAcentral.
GAUGAACGCUGGCGGCGUGCCUAAUACAUGCAAGUCGAGCGAACAGACGAGGAGCUUGCUCCUCUGACGUUAGCGGCGGACGGGUGAGUAACACGUGGAUAACCUACCUAUAAGACUGGGAUAACUUCGGGAAACCGGAGCUAAUACCGGAUAACAUGUUGAACCGCAUGGUUCAACAGUGAAAGACGGUCUUGCUGUCACUUAUAGAUGGAUCCGCGCCGCAUUAGCUAGUUGGUAAGGUAACGGCUUACCAAGGCAACGAUGCGUAGCCGACCUGAGAGGGUGAUCGGCCACACUGGAACUGAGACACGGUCCAGACUCCUACGGGAGGCAGCAGUAGGGAAUCUUCCGCAAUGGGCGAAAGCCUGACGGAGCAACGCCGCGUGAGUGAAGAAGGUCUUCGGAUCGUAAAACUCUGUUAUUAGGGAAGAACAAAUGUGUAAGUAACUACGCACGUCUUGACGGUACCUAAUCAGAAAGCCACGGCUAACUACGUGC